RNAcentral lists this long non-coding RNA (600 nucleotides) under Ananas comosus (pineapple). RNAcentral's name for it is "long non-coding RNA (ACOM_LNC024138)". The record is from RNAcentral. Lineage: Eukaryota; Viridiplantae; Streptophyta; Magnoliopsida; Poales; Bromeliaceae.
CUCCUCUUUAGUCAACACCACAACACUAUUCACUCCCGGGCAGUUCGAAAUCUGAUAUCUUUCGCCGGAACUCCCUGAACAUCCGUUUGAGCUCAAACUUCACAGUCAUGUUCGGUUUUAUGUACUGAGUAAGAAUAUAUUUUAAGUUUUCAGUUUCGACCCUGUUUGGUCACUAAAAACUGUACCGAAUUGUAAUCUUUAUCAGAUAGCUGUCGGAUUUUAUUUCUCACUCUACGGGUGUCAGAAAAAUAUGAAACUUUAAAUCUAGUCUCAUAAAAAUAUUUCUGACUUAUCCUCCAAUUUUCAUAAUUUUCUGAGACUGCAUUUUCUGCCUAUUUAUCUGUCCCGUUUCCAACAGAAAAUUCUAGAUCUUCUGUUUUCAUUCCGAUUUCAGCACAAGUCACUUCUGACUUAUGUUUUACUCCUCUAAAUCCAAUAAAAAUAGUAUCUCACACUAUUUUUAUUUAUUUUUAUUUUUAUUUUUAUAUUUAAAAUCCGGUAUAUUACAUUCCAUCGCAACCUUACCGGAACCAUGCAAAUGGCUUUCCAACUAAAUGUACACCGUAAUUUCAUAAUUUAGAAGUCCGGUACCUUACAACU